AAAGAGAGAGAAAGCACAGUGAAGCUGGUCAUGUUGUGUACCGCCCAUCUCUUGACUGUCGCACUGUGUUGUGCUGAAAGUACAUCUGAUGAUACCAGGAUGUGGGCCUCUGUUUCCAGCUGCAGCUUGGAUGUGCUCGCAGGAAACUAUAAUUACAGUAUACAACAAUUAUCAUCAAGCUCAAUUUACAAGCAAAAGACACGAUACAGCAUGUUCAACUAAGCGAAGACAUAAGAGGGAAGACUGGCUUUGCCCAAAAUAAUCCAGCCGAGAUGUAAUAAACAAUAAAGAAGAAUGAAUCCCAGUGGAAGCAGAAGAAGUGCAAAAAGCAGUGGCCCUAAAACUGAGCCCUGUGGGACCCCAUAUGGCAGAGCGGGAAACAGAGCCAGCGAGGCUGAUAAUACUCAUCUAUUUUUCUCUGCUAAGAGUACACAGUUGUAAGUCAGUAGUGGUUAAUUUUGAUUGUUACUUCAAACUUUCUUCUUCCAAUGGCUGUCCCUUGAACAGCAUGUGGGCGGGGCUUGUGUGCUUCAAAUGUUCAGAUUGGGGAUAUCCGCCUUUUUUUUUUUUUUACAUUAUAUAGACCUAAUAGUAGAAAAAACUGCCUGAAGUGGAGUCUUUAGAGCAGUCUGAAGUUUCAGCUUGUACAAACAAUGACCUCAUUGCUGUAAAAGUAUAUUUAUGGCUCAAAAUAAGGAAGGAUUCACUUUUUAAAUAUAAUUUAAUCAUUUUCAAAGUGAAAGCAGCUGUUGCCUCUCAGAUGAGAGGUCAGCGCUGGAGCUUCCUUACUAUCAGUUCCACAAAGAAACCACAACUAGUCACUUCUAAAACAGAACUGAAGAUGUGUUAAAGGUAUUUAUGGCCCAUAAGGUCAAAAUCAUACAAUCCCUAUUCCGGCAACUCUUUCAAACUGCUGUAAUGCUCUCGAACAAGACUCUAAAGUGUAAUAUUUGA
Molecule: long non-coding RNA, 954 nt
Organism: Oreochromis niloticus (Nile tilapia)
Lineage: Eukaryota; Metazoa; Chordata; Actinopteri; Cichliformes; Cichlidae
Exons: 2
Source: RefSeq, a predicted model, not a curated record